This 481-nucleotide ribosomal RNA is filed under the name uncultured bacterium. RNAcentral's name for it is "partial 16S ribosomal RNA". It matches the Rfam family "Bacterial small subunit ribosomal RNA", at positions 28 to 507 of the family's 1533-position model. The record is from RNAcentral.
GAUGAACGCUGGCGGCGUGCCUAACACAUGCAAGUCGAACGGAGAUUACGGACGGAAGUUUUCGGAUGGAAGCCUGUAAUUCUUAGUGGCGGACGGGUGAGUAACGCGUGGGCAACCUGCCCUAUACAGGGGGAUAGCAGCUUGAAACGGCUGGUAAGACCGCAUAAGUCGGUUAAAUCGCAUGAUUUGAUCGGGAAAUGAGCAAUCAGGUAUAGGAUGGGCCCGCGUCCGAUUAGCCAGUUGGCAGGGUAAAAGCCUACCAAAGCGACGAUCGGUAGCCGGACUGAGAGGUCGGACGGCCACAUUGGGACUGAGACACGGCCCAAACUCCUACGGGAGGCAGCAGUGGGGGAUAUUGCACAAUGGAGGAAACUCUGAUGCAGCGACGCCGCGUGAGUGAAGAAGUAUUUCGGUAUGUAAAGCUCUAUCAGCAGGGAAGAUGAUGACGGUACCUGACUAAGAAGCCCCGGCUAACUACGUG